AUUUUGUCGGGCUCGGGUUCACACCAGGUCCAAAAGCUACACACAAUAACAUUCGACAUAUACACGCCACACUUAGCAGAUAUUAAAUUAAUUUGAAAAAAUUCUCAUUCCAAAAUUUCAGUGAAAUCACUUAUUACAAUUUUAGACUAGCAUGAGUUUCGAAAAAAAGUGUAAAAAAGUGUGCUGCAUGGUCUCAUUGCGAGUUAUGCAUCUUAAAUCUAAAUACUUUUUAUGCUACUUUGUUGCCCAUACUACAUAACAGAAAGUAAAGUGAGUGAGUAAUUGCUGCAUUAGAUUCUGUUAGACUAUAUACUACACACGGUACGUGUUUAACCAACACAGCGCCACCAAAAUGGCUUACCAAAUGAAGGGGACCUGAGGAGUGUGUUGGAGCUCACAAUUUCCUCUUAUAUUCUCUCUUGUGGUCGACUCGGGAGGUUGCUCCGCUUAGAGUCUGCUGUUCUGUAAAGCAAAAUAAAGGAAAACAACAAAAGAGAGUGGAGAGAGAGAGAGAGAGGAAAAUCUAGGAAAUACAAGAGCUACAAAAUUUUUGUAUUGAUAUUUAACAAUUUCGAAAAAUAAACGAAAAAAUGGGGGUGAAAAUGUGACCGCGUUUACGUUUUAGGGAGGUGGACUAGGUGUGUGUGCGAGUGAGUUAUUUGUUGUGGGAGGUGCGGAUUUGGAAGUUUAAAGAAAAGUUGGGCUGGACAGGUCGGGUCAAGGCCGAUUAUUAAUGGAAAUUUUGAGGCGGAUUGUACUAAAAAGAAGAAUUAAUUUGUUGCUGGUGAAAAGUUCUGAUUAAGACUGAUUUUUGAGUCAUUUAGUACAAAUCGAAAGAGAGGUGAGGCAAGGGAUCACUUCAUCUUCACACAUACACACACACACCUCCUCCUCCACGACGCUACUCGUGCAAGUACAGAAGAAGGAAAAAUAUACUAUAUUUUGAAAAUGGACGACGGAAACAACAGUAAUAACCAACAACCGUCCGGAAGUGGUGGGAAUCAUCAGCAGCAGCAUCAUGGUACUCUUCAAAGUUCAAGUAGUGGUGGUCCCUACAACCGGGUGCGACGCCCCUCCGCUUCGAUAAUUUCCAGUACAACGCCAAUGUUCCAGGCUCCGCAGAAUCCUAACCUGCAACUUCAACAACCCCCACCUCCGAGUUCUUUGCAUAGUCGGCAAAGGCGACAACAACAACACAAUGUCAUUCAAAACCACAACUUUGGAUCCGGUGAUAUUGAUGAUGAUGUUCAACCUCAGGCAUCCUCGUCAAGUUCUUCUAGUUCGAGUUUAAGGGGUCGGUUAAGUGCUGGAGUGAAUAAUAGUGCCAGUGCCAGUUCUAACAUUAAUAGUAAUAAUAGACCACAAUCUCCCAUGGGAAGCCUCCCUGAUUCUACAGCGUACUGGGGUCCAUCUCCUUCCCCGUCGGCUGCUUCGGUGAACAGUUAUAGAUCUCCACUUACUCCGGGGGGAAUGUGCGUUGUUUCUUCAUCCACAUCGGACGACAUUCCACAAUCCCCAUUGUCUCCAGAAGAUUUGGGUGGAAAUAGUAAUCAUGGGUUUCCUCAACCUCCUCCUCCUCCAUCUGCUGCCAUUGUGGGUCGGAAUUCUGCUGCUCCAUUGCCAAAUAUUAUGGACGUUAAUGAUUUUAACUUUAAUCAAAAUAUGGGAGGUCAGCUACCGCGGAGAAGACCGUCUUUGGUGGCUUCAUCUUCCUCUCACAAUUUGUCACUAUCAUCAUCCAGUAAUCCCAGAGGAGGAAGUAACAAUAUUGGUUUGGGUAACAAUCAGUUCCAUCAAAAUCAAAACCAAGAUCUCAACCAGAACCCAAGAGUAGGGUCAAACUCACAAGCCCAACAGCAGCAGCAGCAACAACAGUCCUUUAAUAUAUCACCGUUGAGAAAUAAAAUCAAGAAAGCUUCAAGUUUUGAAAGAUUUUCUCUCGCUCAGGCCGCCAUAACUCUGAAUUCUUCUAGUGGGAACAAUAAUGCUUCUACUGCUUCUCAUCAAAGCCAAAAUGUGGGAGUGGUGGGUAAUUCCAGUGGUGGCAGUAAUAAUAAUAUUAGCAGUGACACCUCCUUCUCAUCCUCCUCGAUCUCUUCAUUACCACCGACAACAACUUCUUCUUCGUCAACUACAAAUAAUAGCUCCAUCGGUACAAAUUAUACAAGUAGUAACUCUUCAUCAAACAACUCAGUCAAUCAAGUUGCUGGUCCGUCAUCCCGGACUAGUAUUUGGGAUCCUAGUCCUCCACCACCCCCACAUACCACUGCCACUACAACUACUACGGUCACUGAAAUUAUUACCCCCUCUUCGUCAGCAUCCGGUCUGCGGGCUUUCAGCUCUCUCGGGUUGUCGGAUAAAUUCCAUAUAAAAAUUCCAAGUAAAAAAUUGGCUGCCAAGAUUGCUAGUGUAUAUGAACAAGAGAAAUUAAAUGAACAAUUAAACAAUGCCAAUAAUAAUAAUAACCCCAGCCUUGCUGAGGCUGCAUCAAUCGUGGGAUCGUCAGGGUUAGUGAAACGAUCUGGCUUAUCCUCCGUGAUUGCAAGUGUUGCUGGCUCAUCGUCCCUGUCUCAAAAUGACAACAGUGGUGGUCUCAUUAUCACCAAUAGUAAUUCCUCCUCUCAAGUUGGCCAAAACCAUCAUCAGACCAAAGCGACCUCCUCCUCGUCGUCGUCAUCGUCAUCUACGCUAGCUCAGAUAUUAAAUCAAUCGAGUAGCCUCCACGUGAAUGGAAUCAUGACCGAAGAAAGUAUUAUGAACCACGAGGUCAACCAUGAAACUCUUAUCCGAGAAUUAAGUGAGGCUCCGCUGAAUUUGACGGAAAGCACAAAUUCAUCAUCGUCCUCAAACGCAAAUACCAAUAAUAGCAAUUCCAGUAGCAAUUCUCAUUUACAACAACAACUUUCCCAGCGUAAUCCCGUCAUCUCAUCAAGAACACUUUCAUCCACCCAUUCGAAAAAGAUUCCCCUCACUCCUAAACAGAAGCUGUUGCACAGGCUGCAAACUGGAGAAUUAAUGUCAUCACUUUCACCUCCACCUCAGCCAAUUGUGACCCUUUCUCAACAGCUUCAACAACAACAGCAAUCCCUCCCUGUACAAACUAUUCAACAGCAGCAACAACAGCAACCUCCCGUCGUUACCAUUCACCAAAGUCUUUCCCUGAGUUCUUCGGACCUUCAAAAUUCCAGUGGAAUCAAUCAUGUCGUUUCAAUGGGAAACAACAACAACACUUCUUCACAUUCUCCCCAGCAACAACUCGAUCAGUACAGUUAUGACCAGUUAUUGCGAGCAGCCAGGGAUGACUUUGUAGUGCAGGACUCUUUGGGGAAAGUGGUUGGGGUUGGAGAGGAUCCCAACAGUAUGCUUUCCGUGUACGACCCAGCGGACUACUCGUACUAUUCUUAUCAAAACAUUCUAGGAGAUGAGAACCUUUUCACCGGGAAUAAUUCCGCAUCCACUUCACGGCAGCUCCUGAUGAUGCCGUCGGGAAGCCUGGGCCCCGACACGAUGGACCAAGGACCUCAAGGACCUCUUGAAUUUGUCCUGGGUUUCAGCGGGUCCUCUGUGGAUGACCAUGAUGGGGGAGACCGGAAUAGAGAUGAUGACUUGCAAUUGAACAGUAUUGACCCAAAUGAUGCGUUGAGUGCCAUAAAAUCUCAGCAAACUGAAAGCACCCUCCGAAACCUACUCAUGAUGGACACUUUAAGGAAUAAUCAUACGGCGGAUGAUAACGCUUGGCUCACGUUGGCUGCAGAAUAUCAGAACAGAGUAAUGAAUGCGGAUACCAUGUCUAUCGGCAGAGGUGGAGGAGGUAACAUGAGAAGCAAUAACGCCAACAGUUCUAAUUUGAUUGUGGGCUCUGGGGGAAAUAUUGUGUCAAACUCAGGAUCAGUAGUGAACAUGUCUAAUAAUAGUAUGAGCAACAACAAUUCGUGGAUAAAUGAGUGGAGUCCAAGGACAUCCUCUUGGCAAUCGCAUCCUACAGUUUCAAUAACCAGUGCCGGUGGUAUAGGAGGAGGAGGAGUUGGUGGUGGUGGGGUUCAGGACGAAGUCAUGGAUAUGUCCAUGAUCGAACACGUCAAGCCUAUACCCAUGUCGAACCAGAUGAAACGGCUUCAGAUGCAGAUACAGUCCUCUGCAACUAAUAACGAGCAUGCAAUUGAUGAGAUGGAGAUCACGGGACUUCCAAUCUUGUCUCAAAUGUCAGUAAAUAUGCCUAUUGACCUUCAGCAGACCAUGUCAAUCUUGCCCCAUGGGAAAGAUACCCUUCCCAUGGAUCUCCAGCAACACCACAGGAUGGAUAUUGAUGAUGAGCCAGUUAAUUUAAUGUCUGUAAAUAUGGACCAAGAUCAGCAGGAUCUUAUCCAACAGCAUCACCAUCACAAUGUUGGCGGUGGUCAUUCGAGCCAUCUUAAUCAUCAUCAACAGCUCGAGCAAAACAAUAAAGGGAUGCAGCAACAACAGCAAAAUAAUUCGUAUUCUUUGCAAAUUCAAAGCCAUCAUUCUCCUCAAGAAAUGCAACAAAAUGUUUCCGAACUGAGCCUUAGCAGUAAUAACAACAAUAAUGGGAACACUAGUUCCUCUUCAAAUUCGGAUAAUAUUGAUGAACGACGAAUUAUUCGAGUGAAGAAAAAUAACAAGGAAACUUUAAUUAUGAACAACUUAAAUGAUGACUACCAACUCGCAGUGGAGGAGCAGGAGCAUCUUAACAUCAUAAUGGACAAGCCUGUUCAACCAAAGUCAAUUGCGUCACUCCCAUUGCCAUUCCGCCUGUCUCGUAUUUCUGGGAAUGAACUCGCAGUAUUCAACAAUACGACAAAGAAUAUCCCACCGAAUUGUAGACUCGGACCUGUCGAAGGUCCAUUGAGGAAAGCCACUGACGACAUUGCAAACAUGAAUGCUGCUUAUCCAUCCCUCGUGAUGGCGGACGGAAACAAUGACCUCUGGCAAUUGGACCGAUUAGAUGAUGAAUUUUGCAACUGGAUGAAAUUUGUUCGUCUCGCUCAUUCCAUCAAGGAUCAGAAUGCUCUAGUUGUUGAGAAUGAUGGUUAUCUGUACUUCAUGACCUGCAAAGAAAUUUCACCAGACACCGAAGUGCAGGUGGGAUACAGUUACGAAUAUGCACAAAAGUAUGGGCUGCCAUAUCUUUUACCAAUGGACGCAUUCUUGGACCAAGAUAAUCGUAUCAUGAAGGACAACAACUUGGUCAUAAGUGUGAAAUCCCCUGAGCCACAACCUCCUUCACCACAGCCUCAGGUUCAAAUGUUGCAUGACGAAGGACCAGAGGAACUUGAAGGAUGCGAGGACGAAGUUCAACAAGAGGCAAAAACUCUGACAAUCGAAACCUACCAGUGCUUCGAAUGUGACCAAGAAUUUUCUCUCGUGGAAGAUCUCCAAUCACACAUAAAUACUCAUAAAGAAGUCGAAGCGAUUCGUAAACCAAAGAAGAAGGCAAUUAAAAAAUUUCAUAAUAUUACUCCAGCCAAUGAUGACACUGGUAGAAACGUAUUAACCACAACCGCCAGCAGCAGUAGCAGUACCAUCACCAAUGCCACCGCUAGCACGAGUUCAAUCCCAUUGGGGAAAGUACAGAGUCAGACAAUUAAUUCGGUAAGCAGUACAGUAAUGGAGUCGUCUUCCAGCGGAUCAGGGAUAGUACAGCGGCAACAAACUGCUACACAGCGUCCUGCCCUUGGGGACAUCGGGAAACAACAGGAUAACAGUGUGACCACUGGGGUAGGACAACCAGCUGCUCCAGCUAAGGUCAAAUGCACAAUGUGCUACAAGUCCUUUGCUACCAAGGAGAGAUUAGAAAAGCACAUGAUUGUUCAUAGCGACGAGGACACGAAACCACUAAAAUGCAGUUUCUGUACAAAGAGAUUCUUGACAAAUUCUGCAUUGGCUGGACACACUAAAACACAUGCUGAGGAAGGAAAAUUCUUUGAAUGCCCAAUGUGCAAUAUCCAACCCACCAUGAGCAAUUUCUCCACCCCUCAAUUGUUACAACUUAAAGAACACGUUCAAACUCAUAAGAGCAGAGAUACUGGCCUUUUUUAUUGUCCAAAAUGCCCAAAGGGUUUCAUAUUCUACGCCAUGAUUCGAAAACACAUUCGUGCAUUUCAUGGCCCACGACAAUAUAGUUGUGAGGAUUGCCCAAUGUCUUUUCCAACAUCUGACAAAUUGAAACUUCAUCAGUUGAAGCACUCUGACCACAGGGAGUUUUUGUGUGCCGAAUGUGGCAAACAAUUUAAGCGUAAGGAUAAGCUCAGGGAACACACGAAGCGAAUUCACGAAACGAAAAAGAAAAUUAUUGAGAUAAACAUUCCAAAAGACUCUAAGAAUUCCAAGAAAUUUAUUCCCAAAGUGGCCCCCGAAGAAUAUCAGAGAUUUCCCUUUAAAUGUCAAGAUUGCAUGUUGGGAUUUAAAAGACGUGGAAUGCUUGUAAACCAUUUGGCUAAAAGACAUCCAGAAAAGAAAAUAAAGAGCGUGCCCGAGCUGAACCAACCAAUUUUACGACUGACUCGCAACUAUCCAUGUCUGUACUGCGAAAGAGUUUACAAAUCCAGUUCCAAGAGGAAAUCACACAUUCUCAAAGCUCAUCCAGGCAAACCAAUCCCUCCCCAAUUGAGGGGAGCUGCGUCAAACAGUAGCACAAGUUUGGAAGCAGCAGCCAGCAGUAGCACUAGCAGCAAUGUGGUUAUUGUUAAUAACAUUGAAGUGGUUCGGCCUCCAACAAUUGGAACUAUUGUGCAAACCGUAACAGAAGAUGGAGAUCCUAGGAGUGGAAUUAUGAAUGUUUCGUGUACCAAUAAUACUGAAAAUAAUCUGGUCUCUACCACCUCAACCAGUCACCCUGGACGAAAGGAAACAAAUAUUGUUGGGAAAGUUGCUGCACUACCACAUGCUUGCCAAUGGUGUUACAGGGAAUACGCAACUCGAGCUAAAUUAUUGCAACACCAGAGGAAAGCCCACAUCAACCUUAUGCCUGCUGAAAUGCAGACUCCUCGAACUCAAAAGAACAAUGUCUCAAAAGUUGCCAAGAAAGACAAAGGUCCAAAUUCAGAGGCUGCUGCAAGCUCAAGCAAUAAAGUGUCCCUUAAGGGAGAAGGGAUUCACCAAAAUGUGAUCCACGCCACGAAAACCAUGAUAAUGGAUCAACAGUCAACCUUAAUAAUCCCCGACUCAACUUCUGCAGCCUCCACAACUACUUCCUCCACUAUUCAAACCUUGGCCAGCGUCACGUCAGAAGGGUUCAACGAAGGAAACGUUAUAGGAUAUCUUCUUACCACUGCAUCCGUUUCCCCCAACGAUCUAGGAAAUCUUAUCCCCUCCGAGCUAGUAAUGCUUGGCGGUCCUAUCCCAGGUCUUAAUGGGUCUGGUACGACCACGGCUACGAUUUUGACAUCACAACAAUCACAGUCACUCGCCGCCGUUGGAGGAAACCCCAACCAAAAUAUCACAAUUAUAGCCUCUAGUAAUAGUAGUAAGAGUAAUAAUGUGUGAUCUCAAUAAUCACUCUGGUUUUGGCGAAACAGGUGAAAACUUAUUGACGUGUCACCCAUCCAUUCAUAUCUCAUUUCACUCACAGAAAAAUGGGCGAUUGAUCUAAAGCUAAAGAUAAAUCUCAUCCAGUCUUAUAUAGAAAAAGGAUGUAACCUACGCCUUUUUCAUUGUUGUUGUUUUUUUUGCACCAAGUCUAUAUGUGUCUGCCUAACCAAUGUUUACAACCCGGUGUAUAUCGUUGUAUUAUGUAAUUAUUGCGACUAUGGGUCUUAUGAUGAUGAUGACUACAUUAAAUAUGUAGAGUAUAUAUUUAGUUAGGUAGAAGAACCUUUGACCUUAUUACUAUAUAGUAAAUAACGUAGCGGAGCCCAAGACAGAAGAUGAAGAAGACUUUGCUUAAAAUAAUAUGUAAGAUUAAUUAUGACUUAGAAAAUAAUCUGUGUACAACAAAAACUACGCAAAAUAAUAUUGUACAUUUCUCGGUGAGAUUCCUUCAAUGGACAACUUAGGUUUAGAAAAAACAAAUGUCUUGUCAGUCACCUCCUCUUACAAAAGAAAUCAAGAAUUGAUAAUGGCAUGUUUCUUGUUACAAUAUAGAUAAUAUACAUAUGUGUAAUUACCUAAUUAUUUGACCACGUUUACAUUCUGCAUAUCCAUAAUCCAUACCUAUUUAAACUUAAUAGUAAUAUCAUCUCUCGUGACUUUUAAUCAUAAUUAUGUACUCUCUGAUGUGUAACAAUACUGAAAUAGCGUUGCUUUUAUUACACUUUUACCAUGAGUAAAAAUACCUUUGUCAAUUUAUUAGAGAAUAAUUCUACCAAAAUAUUUACUACCGUGUCUUUCAUUGCUGAAGAACGACUCCAAUUUUUGAACAUGCCUAAUUCAUUUGAAAUUUACCAUUUUUAUUACCCAUAUACAAAUACUUGGUAAGAGGAAUAUCACUUUUUGAGAGAACACAAAACAACCAGUGCCAAAAAGACGAGUUUAUAUGAGGAAAAUACAUUGUAUAUAACGUGAAGGAAACGUGUAUGCAACAAGUCUAUUUAAACUGGGGAGGCUUAAGACAUUAAGACUUGAAUUUUUAAGAACGUAACAAAUUUUGUAAAAAUUUCCCAUGUUUAAUGACUCCAAAAAUUGAGGGUAGUCUCAGCUAUACAUACACUUUAUUGGAAAAGGGAAACACUUGUACCUACAUAUAUCUCCAGCCAACACCGUAAAUAUCUAUGCAUACACAGCUUUCUACAAAGCAACAACACAUGUAUAAAAAAUGUGUCACCACAUCACCCUCCGAUUUUAGUAGCAAAUAAUCAUUAAAUUUUUUGUAAUAAUCUUAAGAUGCAUGCACAUUGUAAAGAACCAAUGUUAUUCCUCUCUUAGCCAAACCAAGCAAUUUUGCGGAUUAAAUGAGAGAAAGUACACAAACUAAUGGGUGCAGCUGCUGUGUGCAGUAUGAAACUCGACUCGAUUUCACAGAAUAAUGUUCCAAACUCCAAUAUCGGUUUAUGAUGUGUAGAUGAUGAUGAUAUGUAGGAUUAGAUUUCAAGUUUUCGAGCAGGAAAUUUAUCCCGAUCCCACACAUUUGCCUAUUUUUAGAAACCCAACUCAAGUAUCAAGUCAAUAUUUCAUCACGGUCAUACAUACACAUGUACCACAUCCGCCAACGCGAUCAUAUUGGACGACAGACCUUAACCCAGUGAAGACAUUAUAAAUAUGCACCUGUCAAAAUGACACCAGAGCGUUUUUAGAGCUUUUCCUAUACUAUUCAGUCAGUCUGAACAUCAUUUUCGUUAUGUUUCUUAUACACCACCACCACACGCCCACAGGUCUGGAACACAUUGCGGAUGAUUUGCAACAGUUAUUUUUCAUCCUGACAUUUUUUAUUUAAAAAUGAAAUCCAACAGCGUCAUCAUCAUCAUCGUAUGUAGUGCAUGAAUACACUUAUCUAUGUACAUAAGGCUGAUGCCACUUCUUGCUAGAUAUGUAUGAGGGAAGGGAAGGAAAGUUGCAAAAAUAGGUGUAAAGGAUGACGAGCUGAGAAAAUAAACUUUGUAAAACCAAGCCAAUCUUUCUCGAGCUGAGAGUAUUUGCACCACUUUUUGGUGGAUAUCAUCUCCUCGUGGAUGAUAGAUACAUAUGUAUUAAAGGAAUUUGUAUUUCAUACCUUUUUCAAAAAUUUAAAGACAUUCAUUUUGAAUAUCAGUACAAGUUUAAUAAAAAUAGAACGCCCCAUAUUUUGUGUACCUCCCUGACAAUUACUGUAAAACGAUAAUAAAAACUAAAUUAAGAGGAAUUUGAUUGUGAAAUAGUUUUUAAUAGUAGCUGUUCCCUGGGACAAAAACACAUCAUCAUGUAUUCCUCGACCCCACUGCUGUCAUCACCCCGACCAAAAAUAGUCGACUGGAACAAGAAAAGCUUAGAAGUUUAUGGAAUGAAUCACUUAAUCAAUGGCCCCACGACGCCGGAAGUUCUGAAAGAUUUGGUCAGCGAUCGGUGGAGGCCUCCUCACAAAUCGUGUGAGGAAGUCUAUCCGAAAAUUUAUGUUGGGAGCGAACGAGCUGCAAAGGAUGUACCGCUUUUAAAGUCGCUUGGAAUUACUCACAUUAUCAAUGCUGCAUGCACAGAGGUGAAAACUGGUGAAGUAUUUUACCUUCAGCAAGGUCAUCGGUUCACGCUACUCACCAUUGACAUUAGUGACAGUCCGACAGCUAAUAUUUCCACGUAUUUUGAAGAAGUCAACAGAUUUAUUGAGGUGGCCCUUCAUACAGGAGGAAAGGUCCUCGUACAUGGAAAGGACGGCGUGAGUAGAUCAGCCACGCUGGUCAUUGCUUAUCUCAUGAUGAGAAAAAAGCAAUGUGCCCUGGAAGCUGUGAGAAACGUUAGGAGAAAGCGGCACGUUAAUCCUACGGAUGGCUUUCUCCGCCAAAUAUGUGACCUGGACGAUAAGCUAAGGAAAGAUCAAGUCUUGUAAAAUAGCCCUUUUCUUAUUUUGUAGCCAAAAUUGUGUUAUUCCCACAUUCGUUAAAUACUUUGGAUCAUAUUCUCCAAUAAAUUAUUGGAUCGAUGA
RNA transcript from Folsomia candida, 10567 nucleotides. It is a transcript of the gene named serine-rich adhesin for platelets, with no coding region annotated. The transcript is spliced from 20 exons. Lineage: Eukaryota; Metazoa; Arthropoda; Collembola; Entomobryomorpha; Isotomidae. The record is from RefSeq and is a predicted model, not a curated record.